CGGGGCGUAGCUCAGCCUGGUAGAGCGCUACGCUGGGGGUGUAGAAGUCGCAGGUUCGAAUCCUGUCGCCCCGACCA
RNAcentral lists this transfer RNA (77 nucleotides) under Verrucomicrobiota bacterium. Its description in RNAcentral is "Verrucomicrobia bacterium (marine metagenome) tRNA-Pro". It matches the Rfam family "tRNA". Rfam says of the family: Transfer RNA (tRNA) molecules are approximately 80 nucleotides in length. Their secondary structure includes four short double-helical elements and three loops (D, anti-codon, and T loops). RNAcentral also lists the same sequence under 2 other names. The record is from RNAcentral. Lineage: Bacteria; Pseudomonadati; Verrucomicrobiota.